UGAGUACGAGAUGCUACGGCAUCGAAGCAGUCUAUGUCAUACUUCCAAGAAAAGCUUGCAAUGUCAUAAACAAAUAAUGCCUGUACCAUAACCGACACAGGUGGGUAGGUAGAGUAUACUAAGGGGCGCGGGAUAACUCUCUCUAAGGAACUCGGCAAAAUGACUCCGUAACUUCGGGAGAAGGAGUGCCUUAUUUUUAUAAGGUUGCAAUAACAAGAUCCAAGCAACUGUUUACCAAAAACACAGGUCUCCGCUAAGUCGUAAGACGAUGUAUGGGGGCUGACGCCUGCCCAGUGCCAGAAGGUUAAAGAAGUUGGUUAGCAUUAGCGAAGCUGAUAACUGAAGCCCUGGUGAACGGCGGCCGUAACUAUAACGGUCCUAAGGUAGCGAAAUUCCUUGUCGGGUAAGUUCCGACCCGCACGAAAGGCGUAAUGAUUUGGAUACUGUCUCGGAGAGGGGCUCGGUGAAAUAGACUUGUCUGUGAAGAUGCGGACUACCUGCACCUGGACAGAAAGACCCUAUGAAGCUUUACUGUAACUUGAGAUUGAAAUUGGACUUUAUCUGCGCAGUAUAGGUGGGAGACGUUGAGAAUAUUCUUGCGGGAAUAUUGGAGUCAUCAGUGAGAUACCACUCUUAUAAUGUUAGAUUUCUAACUUUGUAUCAUUAUCUGGUCAAAGAACAGUUUCAGGCGGGCAGUUUGACUGGGGCGGUCGCCUCCCAAACGGUAACGGAGGCGCACAAAGGUUUCCUCUGAACGUGUAGAAAUCGUAUCUAGAGUGUAAAGGCAUAAGGAAGCUUGACUGUGAGACCUACAAGUCGAGCAGGGACGAAAGUCGGUCUUAGUGAUCUGACGGUGCUGAGUGGAAAGGCCGUCACUCAACGGAUAAAAGUUACUCUAGGAUAACAGGCUGAUCUCCCCCAAGAGUUCACAUCGACGGGGAGGUUUGGCACCUCGAUGUCGGCUCAUCGCAUCCUGGGGCGGUAGUACGUCCCAAGGGUUGGGCUGUUCGCCCAUGAAAGCGGUACGCGAGCUGGGUUCAGAACGUCGUGAGACAGUUCGGUCCAUAUCCGGUGUAGGCGUUAGAAUAUUGAGAGGAGCCUUCUUUAGUACGAGAGGACCGAGAAGGACAUACCUCUGGUGUACCAGUUAUCGUGCCAACGGUAAACGCUGGGUAGCCAUGUAUGGAGAGGAUAACCGCUGAAAGCAUCUAAGUGGGAAGCCCACCUCAAGAUAAGUAUUCUCU
RNAcentral lists this ribosomal RNA (1244 nucleotides) under metagenome. Its description in RNAcentral is "bacterial LSU rRNA". It matches the Rfam family "Bacterial large subunit ribosomal RNA", at positions 1564 to 2816 of the family's 2925-position model. The record is from RNAcentral.